Molecule: ribosomal RNA, 468 nt
Filed under: uncultured bacterium
Lineage: Bacteria
Description: partial 16S ribosomal RNA
Rfam family: Bacterial small subunit ribosomal RNA
Source: RNAcentral
GACGAACGCUGGCGGCGUGCUUAACACAUGCAAGUCGAACGGAAAGGCCCUGCUUUUGUGGGGUGCUCGAGUGGCGAACGGGUGAGUAACACGUGAGUAACCUGCCCUUGACUUUGGGAUAACUUCAGGAAACUGGGGCUAAUACCGGAUAGGAGCUCCUGCUGCAUGGUGGGGGUUGGAAAGUUUCGGCGGUUGAGGAUGGACUCGCGGCUUAUCAGCUGGUUGGUGGGGUAGUGGCUUACCAAGGCUUUGACGGGUAGCCGGCCUGAGAGGGUGACCGGCGACAUUGGGACUGAGAUACGGCGCAGACUCCUACGGGAGGCAGCAGUGGGGAAUAUUGCACAAUGGGCGGAAGCCUGAUGCAGCAACGCCGCGUGCGGGAUGACGGCCUUCGGGUUGUAAACCGCUUUCGCCUGUGACGAAGCGUGAGUGACGGUAAUGGGUAAAGAAGCACCGGCUAACUACGUG